AUUUUGUUGCGAAAUUCCCAAAUGGCGUCUUCACCGGCUGAGAAAAAGGAUCAGAAACAAUGGGAAAAGUGUCCUUAGAGAGCUGAAAACGCCUCAUUUCAUGAGUGUCCUGAACUCCACUGCUCGACGCUGAACGUCCAAGUUGAGGAAUUUUGAUUUUUCCACAGAUCUCCACACCUGAAAGAUCACCGGGAAUAGGUCAUCACUUGUCGUUACGAGCAUUUCAUUGUCACGGGGAUUGAAAGCGACGCUAUUGACUACUUC
Phlebotomus papatasi is the source of this 264-nucleotide long non-coding RNA. RefSeq lists it as uncharacterized. The record is from RefSeq and is a predicted model, not a curated record. The transcript has 3 exons. Lineage: Eukaryota; Metazoa; Arthropoda; Insecta; Diptera; Psychodidae.